Molecule: non-coding RNA, 1004 nt
Organism: Cicer arietinum (chickpea)
Lineage: Eukaryota; Viridiplantae; Streptophyta; Magnoliopsida; Fabales; Fabaceae
Source: RefSeq, a predicted model, not a curated record
ACCGGAAUAAAUUACAGUACCGUAAUCGCGUGUUAGAGCUAUCGUUAAGAUGAUACCCGAGUUCAUUCCACCGACUGUUACCUUGACGAAGGAGACGUCGUUAGACUUCCCUGAUUGAGACUCGCCGACUGCUUGGGUAUAUGACCCCAUCUCAAGCAGGGUCACUUAUACGGGGAGGGUAGUGAGGACUAGUAGGAAAGGUGGGACAGUAUUUUUUGUGGAACUCACUCGCGAGAAGAUUGAUUAUCCGGUACCUUCCGGAUUAGUGCUUGGGAUGAGUGGAGCUUGGGAAGAUGCGAAGGAUUCCUCAGUUAGAGUGGAGGCAGAGGCCGUUGUGGGAGUUGAGGAUACAGUGGUUGGACCAGGGCCAGGAUAAGGGUCGAUGCCCAUGGAGCGAGAGAUUGUAGGGCCAUCUAGGCGGGCCGAGUCAGAGCUUCCUCUUCCAGUGAAUGAUCCUUUAUCGACUGUCACUAAAGUAGCAGACUGUUAUGAGGUCCCGGCGCCGCCGAAGCCCCCUAUCUCGUGGGUGGAUCUGACUUCUGAAGAGAGCGAUCCAUCUAUGUAUGUUGAUGAGGAUGAGGUUACCUCGAAGAUGGAUGAUGCGUCAGACGGAACUUGUGGACCGUGUGGAGGUCACCCAUGUUAUUGUAGUUGCUAGAGUAUGAUCAGAUUAGUUUUGUUGUAUAGGGACUUGAUAUCCUUCUUUUGGUGGUUGUUCUUAGUUCAUUUUGGGAUGAUUGUAACUAUACUUAUACGGUCAGAUGAUUUCUGUCUUGGUGGGUCCAUGUUCCAUUUUUUUUUGACGUGACCAUGGGGAUUAGUAUUUCUUGGAGCAAUACUUGUACAUGUGUCUGACGAGAAUACCCCAGGGGUAUGAGCGAUGCUUGAUAGGUCUCAUAGCCCCUGCGUAUUUUAUAUUUGGAUAUUUUAGUUUAUCGCCUCACAACUAUUUCAGUUUGUUAUAAUUAUGAUGUAAUUAAUUAUGACAAUUAUCGUUUGUGUUA